GAUGAACGCUGGCGGCGUGCCUAAUACAUGCAAGUCGAGCGAACGGACGAGAAGCUUGCUUUUCUGAUGUUAGCGGCGGACGGGUGAGUAACACGUGGAUAACCUACCUAUAAGACUGGGAUAACUUCGGGAAACCGGAGCUAAUACCGGAGAAUAUUUUGAACCGCAUGGUUCAAAAGUGAAAGACGGUCUUGCUGUCACUUAUAGAUGGAUCCGCGCUGCAUUAGCUAGUUGGUAAGGUAACGGCUUACCAAGGCAACGAUGCAUAGCCGACCUGAGAGGGUGAUCGGCCACACUGGAACUGAGACGCGGUCCAGACUCCUACGAGAGGCAGCAGUAGGGAAUCGUCCGCAAUGGGCGAAAGCCUGACGGAGCAACGCCGCGUGAGUGAUGAAGGUCUUCGGAUCGUAAAACUCUGUUAUUAGGGAAGAACAUAUGUGUAAGUAACUGUGCACAUCUUGACGGUACCUAAUCAGAAAGCCACGGCUAACUACGUG
Molecule: ribosomal RNA, 497 nt
Filed under: uncultured bacterium
Lineage: Bacteria
Description: partial 16S ribosomal RNA
Rfam family: Bacterial small subunit ribosomal RNA
Source: RNAcentral